AAACGUUCUCAGGGCGGGGUGCAAGUCCCCACCGGCGGUGAUGGCAUCCUCGAUGCCUAGCCCGCGAGCGCUUCCCGGCCGCCACGGCGACGGGAAGGUCAGCAGACCCGGUGUGAUCCCGGGGCCGACGGUAACAGUCCGGAUGAAGAGAGAACGGGA
RNAcentral lists this non-coding RNA (159 nucleotides) under Ectopseudomonas oleovorans. RNAcentral describes it as "Pseudomonas pseudoalcaligenes FMN sequence". It matches the Rfam family "FMN riboswitch aptamer (RFN element)". Rfam says of the family: The RFN element is a highly conserved domain that is found frequently in the 5'-untranslated regions of prokaryotic mRNAs that encode for flavin mononucleotide (FMN) biosynthesis and transport proteins. The record is from RNAcentral. Lineage: Bacteria; Pseudomonadati; Pseudomonadota; Gammaproteobacteria; Pseudomonadales; Pseudomonadaceae.